UAUCCGUGGUGAGGACAGUCUCUAUCAUAGUCUUUGAAUCGCUCCCAAGCAUCGUAGAAUGAUUCUUUGGCUCCUUGUUUAAAUCCCAAAAUUCUGGCCCGAACUA
Non-coding RNA from Arabidopsis thaliana x Arabidopsis arenosa, 106 nucleotides. Lineage: Eukaryota; Viridiplantae; Streptophyta; Magnoliopsida; Brassicales; Brassicaceae. The record is from the annotation of a GenBank genome assembly.